GGAUUGGAGCACCAUGGGAAACCUCACCCAGCCUGGACACAGGCAGGACUGACAGAUUGAGAACUGUUUCUCAAUUACAUGGGUGGUGGUGCCUGGCCAUUCUUGGUGGAGUGAUUUGUCUGGUUAUUUCCAAUAACAGACAAGUCUCUGGCAUGCUAACUCGUUACAUGACCCCCCAGUGGUUGAUGUCCAACUUCUUCAAGGGACAAGUGGCAUUCAGCAACAUGAGAUAAAGCAACAACAGGUCUGUGAUGCCCUUUACUGUGAGAGUAACCAGUCCCUGGAACAGGUUGCCCAGAGAUGCUGUGGAAUCUCCAUCCUUGGUGAAAUUCAAAAGCUGUCUGGACAUGGUCCUGGGCAGCUAAGAAGGGGGAGUUGGACCAAAUGACCUGCAAAG
This 397-nucleotide non-coding RNA is filed under the name Gavia stellata (red-throated loon). Its description in RNAcentral is "Eukaryotic small subunit ribosomal RNA". The stretch from base 19 to 266 matches the Rfam family "Eukaryotic small subunit ribosomal RNA", at positions 1210 to 1485 of the family's 1831-position model. Lineage: Eukaryota; Metazoa; Chordata; Aves; Gaviiformes; Gaviidae. The record is from Rfam by way of RNAcentral.